GACGGAGGAUGCAAGCGUUAUCCGGAAUGAUUGGGCGUAAAGCGUCCGCAGGUGGCCGUUCAAGUCUGCUGUCAAAGACCGGGGCUUAACUUCGGAAAGGCAGUGGAAACUGAACAGCUAGAGUAUGGUAGGGGCAGAGGGAAUUCCUGGUGUAGCGGUGAAAUGCGUAGAGAUCAGGAAGAACAUCGGUGGCGAAGGCGCUCGGCUGGACCGUAACUGACACUCAGGGACGAAAGCUAGGGGAGCGAAUGGG
RNAcentral lists this ribosomal RNA (253 nucleotides) under uncultured bacterium. Its description in RNAcentral is "partial 16S ribosomal RNA". It matches the Rfam family "Bacterial small subunit ribosomal RNA", at positions 524 to 776 of the family's 1533-position model. The record is from RNAcentral.